This 300-nucleotide transfer-messenger RNA is filed under the name Lachnospiraceae bacterium. Its description in RNAcentral is "partial transfer-messenger RNA". It matches the Rfam family "transfer-messenger RNA", at positions 60 to 374 of the family's 374-position model. From Rfam's summary of the family: Bacterial tmRNA, also known as 10Sa RNA or SsrA, is named for its dual tRNA and mRNA-like properties. The record is from RNAcentral. Lineage: Bacteria; Bacillati; Bacillota; Clostridia; Lachnospirales; Lachnospiraceae.
CCGGACGUUAAACGGCACAAUUAAAAAUAAACGCUAAGAAUAAUACUUUAGCAUUCGCAGCGUAAGCUGCGUGUCGCCCGCCCGGGACCUGCAACGGGCGGAUACGGCAUCAUCAGGGCAGGAAACGACAUGGCCUAAGCUUUGCGGUCAUGGGCGUAUCAUGAAGCUACCAAAGCACUGCGGCUGUCUGUUUUCCGCGGUGCAUGAGGGAAAGCGGCCGGGCCGGUAUAACAGACUAUGAUAGUAGAAGUACAUUGGACGGGUCUUUGGACGCGGGUUCGAUUCCCGCCUAAUCCAUCU